AUACGGAGGGUGCAAGCGUUAAUCGGAAUUACUGGGCGUAAAGCGCGCGUAGGCGGUUUAGUCAGUCAGAUUUGAAAGCCCCGGGCUCAACCUGGGAACUGCAUUUGAUACUGCUGAACUAGAGUAUGGUAGAGGGAAGUGGAAUUCCGGGUGUAGCGGUGAAAUGCGUAGAUAUCCGGAGGAACACCAGUGGCGAAGGCGACUUCCUGGACCAAUACUGACGCUGAGGUGCGAAAGCGUGGGUAGCAAACAGGAUUAGAAACCCUGGUAGUCC
This 274-nucleotide ribosomal RNA is filed under the name uncultured bacterium. RNAcentral describes it as "partial 16S ribosomal RNA". It matches the Rfam family "Bacterial small subunit ribosomal RNA", at positions 523 to 796 of the family's 1533-position model. The record is from RNAcentral.